AACGAACGCUGGCGGCAUGCCUAACACAUGCAAGUCGAACGAAGCCUUCGGGCUUAGUGGCGCGCGGGUGCGUAACACGUGGGAAUCUGCCCUUCGGUUCGGAAUAACAGUUAGAAAUGACUGCUAAUACCGGAUGAUGACGAAAGUCCAAAGAUUUAUCGCCGAAGGAUGAGCCCGCGUAGGAUUAGGUAGUUGGUAGGGUAAUGGCCUACCAAGCCGACGAUCCUUAGCUGGUCUGAGAGGAUGAUCAGCCACACUGGGACUGAGACACGGCCCAGACUCCUACGGGAGGCAGCAGUGGGGAAUAUUGGACAAUGGGCGAAAGCCUGAUCCAGCAAUGCCGCGUGAGUGAUGAAGGCCUUAGGGUUGUAAAGCUCUUUUACCAGGGAUGAUAAUGACAGUACCUGGAGAAUAAGCUCCGGCUAACUCCGUG
Molecule: ribosomal RNA, 433 nt
Filed under: uncultured bacterium
Lineage: Bacteria
Description: bacterial SSU rRNA
Rfam family: Bacterial small subunit ribosomal RNA
Source: RNAcentral